ACACUCCUACGGGAGGCAGCAGUGGGGAAUAUUGCACAAUGGGCGCAAGCCUGAUGCAGCCAUGCCGCGUGUAUGAAGAAGGCCUUCGGGUUGUAAAGUACUUUCAGCGGGGAGGAAGGCAAUACGGUUAAUAACCGUGUUGAUUGACGUUACCCGCAGAAGAAGCACCGGCUAACUCCGUGCCAGCAGCCGCGGUAAUACGGAGGGUGCAAGCGUUAAUCGGAAUUACUGGGCGUAAAGCGCACGCAGGCGGUCUGUCAAGUCGGAUGUGAAAUCCCCGGGCUCAACCUGGGAACUGCAUUCGAAACUGGCAGGCUUGAGUCUUGUAGAGGGGGGUAGAAUUCCAGGUGUAGCGGUGAAAUGCGUAGAGAUCUGGAGGAAUACCGGUGGCGAAGGCGGCCCCCUGGACAAAGACUGACGCUCAGGUGCGAAAGCGUGGGGAGCAAACAGGAUUAGAAACCCUGGUAGUCCCAUG
Molecule: ribosomal RNA, 475 nt
Filed under: uncultured organism
Description: partial 16S ribosomal RNA
Rfam family: Bacterial small subunit ribosomal RNA
Source: RNAcentral